GAUGAAGAACGCAGCGAAAUGCGAUAAGUAAUGUGAAUUGCAGAAUUCAGUGAAUCAUCGAAUCUUUGAACGCACAUUGCGCCCCUUGGUAUUCCGAGGGGCAUGCCUGUUCGAGCGUCAUAUUAACCACUCCCGCUUGCGGGGUCUUGGGCUUCGCCUCCGGGCGGGCCUUAAAAUCAGUGGCGGUGCCGUCGGGCUCUACGCGUAGUAAAUUUUCUCGCGAUAGGGUCCCGGUGGAUGCUUGCCAACAACCCCCAACUUCUUAAGGUUGACCUCGGAUCAGGUAGGGAUACCCGCUGAACUUAAGCAUAUCAAUAAGCAGAGGA
RNAcentral lists this unclassified non-coding RNA (326 nucleotides) under soil metagenome. Its description in RNAcentral is "partial contains 5.8S ribosomal RNA, internal transcribed spacer 2, and large subunit ribosomal RNA". The stretch from base 1 to 120 matches the Rfam family "5.8S ribosomal RNA", at positions 35 to 154 of the family's 154-position model. The record is from RNAcentral.